AUUGAACGCUGGCGGAAUGCUUUACACAUGCAAGUCGAACGAUGAAACCUAGCUUGCUAGGUCGAUUAGUGGCGAACGGGUGAGUAAUAUAUCGGAACGUAUCCAAUAAUGGGGGAUAACUAGUCGAAAGAUUGGCUAAUACCGCAUACGUCCUACGGGAGAAAGCUGGGGAUCGUAAGACCUGGCGUUAAUGGAGCGGCCGAUAUCUGAUUAGCUAGUUGGUGGGGUAAAGGCUCACCAAGGCAACGAUCAGUAGCUGGGCUGAGAGGACGACCAGCCACCCUGGAACUGAGACACGGUCCAGACUCCUACGGGAGGCAGCAGUGGGGAAUUUUGGACAAUGGGCGCAAGCCUGAUCCAGCCAUUCCGCGUGAGUGAAGAAGGCCUUCGGGUUGUAAAGCUCUUUCGCAAGGGAAGAACACUUAAUCUCUAACAUAGAUUGAGGUUGACGGUACCUUGAUAAGAAGCACCGGCUAACUACGUGCCAGCCGCCGCCGUAA
RNAcentral lists this ribosomal RNA (500 nucleotides) under uncultured bacterium. Its description in RNAcentral is "partial 16S ribosomal RNA". It matches the Rfam family "Bacterial small subunit ribosomal RNA", at positions 30 to 523 of the family's 1533-position model. The record is from RNAcentral.